Molecule: long non-coding RNA, 1860 nt
Filed under: Homo sapiens (human)
Lineage: Eukaryota; Metazoa; Chordata; Mammalia; Primates; Hominidae
Description: HSALNT0219139
Source: RNAcentral
UGGUAGAGGAGAUCUGAAAGGCCCUGGACAUUCUCCAUUCUAUUAGCAGUGGGCCCUAGGGAAGAAGGGAUCCCAGUUGCUCUCAUUCAUUUAAAGGGCUUCACUGCCUUGGCUCCCUGUGGGCCGCAGAAUCUACACCACCACCCAGGCCCCUUGUGAGCACCUUGACUUCUCCACAAUGUAGGUUUUCUGAGGCUUCUCUUCUAGAGCCAGGUCCCACUACACCACAGCAUUUCCAUGAGAUCUGAGGCUCACCCCAACCCUGUGGAUCUCCUCUCUUUACAGCCCUGUCGCCCCACUGAAAUGCUCCCCACUACAGCUUCUCCUCAGCCCUGCAAUGGGUUGCUUCCUGUCCCCACAAAUUGUACUUUUCUGUCUCCUUGGAAUUGGGAGCACCACCCACCAGUCCUCUGUUGGAACCCCAGCUUCUUUCCUUCCAGGUAGACGAGGACUGAGCUCUGGAUAACUGGAAUACCGGCCACCCCAGAGGUGCCUGGUCAGCCGGACCUCUCCACCUCCUUGGAGGCUAGAAAAUGGGCAGAAAGCCAGGUUUUUCCGCCAUCCCAGGCACCCUUUUGCUAGGAUAUGAGUGAAUCUUUACAGUCCCUGCUUUCGUGGACCAAUGGCCAAGCAGCCUUCCCCACUUGGCCCUGGGUUUGGCUGGUACGCCCUGCAGAACAGCUGCCUGGGACUGUCUCUCCCUCUUCUGAGGAGGACUGUAUGCAGGGAUCCACUACUCCAUCUGCCCCUCCUUUGGCCAGAAUGUCGGUGGGACCUAGGUCCUCUUCGCACAAGACCUGAAGACCUGCAGACACACUUACCUCUCAGAGGUCCGUGGGAGGUACUUCAGCAAUAUGUGGAUACCAGUUUCCCACUUCCCGGACUACAACCCACAGCUGGUGAGUGGAAAAGAGGACAUUCUUCUAAGAAGCUACCAACAAAGGAGGUGCUCAUAUGAACGAAAGGGGACAGGAUAGAAGAGAAGAGGGAGACUGAAUGUGGGAAAUGGAGAGAAAGCGAAAAAGAAAGGAAUAACCAGAAAGGACCAUUUGCUGGUAAUUUUUUUUUUUUCCUGAUUGGAAAAGUAAUUCAUGCUCCCUGUAAAAAUCCAGACUUUUUCAUUACUGUUUAAGUUUGAUACUGAAAGUCCUCCUCUGGUGCCAGCCUCUGCUAACUGUUUAGGUAUAUUCUUCCAGAUUAUUUAUUACACGAAUACUUUUUGUUUUUAAAGAAAUAGCUUUGUACUAUACACACUGUUGUGCAAGUUUCCCACUUAUAUCUGCGACACCUUCGGAAUGAAUAUGUGAAGUGUGAAGAUCACGUUUAGUUUAAAUAUUGAAUUAGAAUCGAAUGAGAAGCCAUGUUGCACAUUGCCCCUGCCAGCCAUCUCCUGGCCAGUUUAGAGAGAAGGCCUUCAGCUGCCUCUGUUUCCCUUUUACAGUCAGUGACAUCCCCUGAGGGCAGUCCCUUGCUGCGUAUUGGGUCAACCCCCGGCGGCCUGUGGACUCGGCUGGGAGGCCAGAAGCCGAGGGAGAAGACCAGUAGCUGGCCAUAGUCUUGUGGGGGCCUCACUGGGCCCUCCUUGCCCGCUGCUCCCGGAACCUUGUGCCUAUGGAUUAAUCAUUGCUGCAAAAUCUCACGUCCAGGAAGAAUUAAACCCAUCGCCUUGGGGGCAAGACUAGCCUGGCUUUUGCAUCUUUAUAGCCUUUCUCCGCAGGUGCAGCCACCACCUCCAAAGUGACUGCCGGUCGGUCCAAGCGCUCUAACAGGCUCUUCCCCGAGCCUACCUGGGCUCGAGGGGUCCCACACCUGGUCCGGGGCGUAGCCCAUGUGAGGCCUGCAAGCUCCGGGCGCCUGGCC